RNAcentral lists this ribosomal RNA (329 nucleotides) under uncultured eukaryote. RNAcentral's name for it is "partial 18S ribosomal RNA". It matches the Rfam family "Eukaryotic small subunit ribosomal RNA", at positions 1470 to 1796 of the family's 1831-position model. The record is from RNAcentral.
CCCUUAGAUGUUCUGGGCCGCACGCGCGCUACACUGACUGGUGCAACAAGUGUCUGACCUUGGCUCGAGAGGCCUGGGCAACCUUUGAACGCCAGUCGUGCUGGGGAUAGAUUCUUGCAAUUAUUAAUCUUCAACGAGGAAUUCCUAGUAAACGCAAGUCAUCAGCUUGCAUUGAUUACGUCCCUGCCCUUUGUACACACCGCCCGUCGCACCUACCGAUUGAAUGGUCCGGUGAAGCGUUCGGACCGUGGCCUUUGGACGGUUCGCCGUCUGUUGGCUGCGGGAAGUUCGUUAAACCUUAUCAUUUAGAGGAAGGAGAAGUCGUAACA